AGAUCGUAUUGAGGGCAUUUUCGUAACAUCCCUUUGUAUCGCUCCCAUGCUUCAUACAUUGACUCCUCAUCUUCAUGUUGGAAGUUUAGAAUGUUCUUUUUGAGCUU
Lactuca sativa (garden lettuce) is the source of this 107-nucleotide small nucleolar RNA. NCBI's taxonomy places the organism in Eukaryota, Viridiplantae, Streptophyta, Magnoliopsida, Asterales, Asteraceae. The record is from RefSeq and is a predicted model, not a curated record.